CUACGGGUCGCACCAGUGAGGAAUAUUGGACAAUGGGCGAGAGCCUGAUCCAGCAACGCCGCGUGGAGGAUGACGCAUUUCGGUGUGUAAACUCCUUUUAUAUGUCAAGAAAAUGACGGUAGCAUAUGAAUAAGCACCGGCUAACUCCGUGCCAGCAGCCGCGGUAAUACGGAGGGUGCAAGCGUUACUCGGAAUCACUGGGCGUAAAGGACGCGUAGGCGGGUUGGAAAGUCAGGUGUGAAAUCCUACAGCUUAACUGUAGAACUGCACUUGAAACUUCUAAUCUAGAGUAUGGGAGGGGGAGAUGGAAUUAGUGGUGUAGGGGUAAAAUCCGUAGAUAUCACUAGGAAUACCUAAAGCGAAGGCGAUCUCCUGGAACAUUACUGACGCUAAGGCGUGAAAGCGUGGGGAGCAAACAGGAUUAGAUACCCUCGUAGUC
RNAcentral lists this ribosomal RNA (439 nucleotides) under uncultured bacterium. RNAcentral's name for it is "partial 16S ribosomal RNA". It matches the Rfam family "Bacterial small subunit ribosomal RNA", at positions 339 to 795 of the family's 1533-position model. The record is from RNAcentral.